RNAcentral lists this long non-coding RNA (232 nucleotides) under Elaeis guineensis (African oil palm). Its description in RNAcentral is "long non-coding RNA (EGUI_LNC040041)". The record is from RNAcentral. Lineage: Eukaryota; Viridiplantae; Streptophyta; Magnoliopsida; Arecales; Arecaceae.
GUCCUUCUACCUGUUGAACUUCAUCAAGUUCAAUCUUAGAGGCAACGGUUCCUUCACCAAGAAUUUUUUUUUUCUAAAAAGGUUGCCUUAAGACUGACAAACACCUUUUGUUCAUCAGCAUGGUAGAAAAAAUAUCUUUUAGUCUCUUUGGGGUACUCUAUGAAUGUGCAUUUGUCAGACCUAGGUUCAAGUUUAUCUGUAACUAACCGUUUGACAUAGGCCGGACACCCCC